GACGAACGCUGGCGGCGUGCCUAACACAUGCAAGUCUAACGAGAAAGGGGUAGCAAUAUCCUGAGUACAGUGGCGCACGGGUGAGUAACACGUAGGCAAUUUGCCUUCAGGACGGGGACAACCUCGAGAAAUCGGGGCUAAUACCCGAUAAUGCAGCGGCACCGCAUGGUGACAGUUGUUAAAGGCCCGCAAGGGCGCCCGGAGAUGAGCCUGCGUCCCAUUAGGUAGUUGGUGAGGUAACGGCCCACCAAGCCUACGAUGGUUAGCUGGUCUGAGAGGAUGAUCAGCCACACUGGAACUGAGACACGGUCCAGACUCCUACGGGAGGCAGCAGUGAGGAAUAUUGCGCAAUGGCCGAAAGGCUGACGCAGCGACGCCGCGUGAAGGAUGAAGUCCGUUAGGAUGUAAACUUCUUUUGCAGGGGAAGAAUGUGGCGCCUUGGGCGCCAUUGACGGUACCCUGCGAAUAAGGGUCGGCUAACUACGUGCC
RNAcentral lists this ribosomal RNA (489 nucleotides) under uncultured bacterium. RNAcentral describes it as "bacterial SSU rRNA". It matches the Rfam family "Bacterial small subunit ribosomal RNA", at positions 28 to 509 of the family's 1533-position model. The record is from RNAcentral.